RNAcentral lists this non-coding RNA (26 nucleotides) under Mus musculus (house mouse). Lineage: Eukaryota; Metazoa; Chordata; Mammalia; Rodentia; Muridae. The record is from RNAcentral.
UGAGGUUUUUGGUAGGUUUCAUCGAC